RNAcentral lists this ribosomal RNA (315 nucleotides) under uncultured eukaryote. Its description in RNAcentral is "partial 18S ribosomal RNA". It matches the Rfam family "Eukaryotic small subunit ribosomal RNA", at positions 1470 to 1796 of the family's 1831-position model. The record is from RNAcentral.
CCCUUAGACGUUCUGGGCCGCACGCGCGCUACACUGACCAGUGCAACAAGCAUCCGUCCUUGGCCGACAGGCUCGGGCAAUCUUUGAACGCUGGUCGUGAUGGGGAUAGACUUUUGCAAUUUUUGGUCUUCAACGAGGAAUUCCUAGUAAACGCAAGUCAUCAACUUGCAUUGAUUACGUCCCUGCCCUUUGUACACACCGCCCGUCGCACCUACCGAUUGAAUGGUCCGGUGAAGCCUCCGGAUUGGCGCGCACCUCGGUGCCGCCGAGAAGUUGGCUAAACCUUACCACUUAGAGGAAGGUGAANUCGUANCA